Molecule: ribosomal RNA, 2235 nt
Filed under: Salmonella enterica subsp. enterica serovar Brunei
Lineage: Bacteria; Pseudomonadati; Pseudomonadota; Gammaproteobacteria; Enterobacterales; Enterobacteriaceae
Description: partial 23S ribosomal RNA
Rfam family: Bacterial large subunit ribosomal RNA
Source: RNAcentral
CUUUUGGGUGUGACUGCGUACCUUUUGUAUAAUGGGUCAGCGACUUAUAUUCUGUAGCAAGGUUAACCGAAUAGGGGAGCCGGAGGGAAACCGAGUCUUAAUUGGGCGUUAAGUUGCAGGGUAUAGACCCGAAACCCGGUGAUCUAGCCAUGGGCAGGUUGAAGGUUGGGUAACACUAACUGGAGGACCGAACCGACUAAUGUUGAAAAAUUAGCGGAUGACCUGUGGCUGGGGGUGAAAGGCCAAUCAAACCGGGAGAUAGCUGGUUCUCCCCGAAAGCUAUUUAGGUAGCGCCUCGUGAAUUCAUCUCCGGGGGUAGAGCACUGUUUCGGCUAGGGGGCCAUCCCGGCUUACCAACCCGAUGCAAACUGCGAAUACCGGAGAAUGUUAUCACGGGAGACACACGGCGGGUGCUAACGUCCGUCGUGAAGAGGGAAACAACCCAGACCGCCAGCUAAGGUCCCAAAGUCAUGGUUAAGUGGGAAACGAUGUGGGAAGGCCCAGACAGCCAGGAUGUUGGCUUAGAAGCAGCCAUCAUUUAAAGAAAGCGUAAUAGCUCACUGGUCGAGUCGGCCUGCGCGGAAGAUGUAACGGGGCUAAACCAUGCACCGAAGCUGCGGCAGCGACGCUGAUGCGUUGUUGGGUAGGGGAGCGUUCUGUAAGCCUGCGAAGGUGGCCUGUGAGGGUUGCUGGAGGUAUCAGAAGUGCGAAUGCUGACAUAAGUAACGAUAAAGCGGGUGAAAAGCCCGCUCGCCGGAAGACCAAGGGUUCCUGUCCAACGUUAAUCGGGGCAGGGUGAGUCGACCCCUAAGGCGAGGCCGAAAGGCGUAGUCGAUGGGAAACGGGUUAAUAUUCCCGUACUUGGUGUUACUGCGAAGGGGGGACGGAGAAGGCUAUGUUGGCCGGGCGACGGUUGUCCCGGUUUAAGCGUGUAGGUGUGUGUUCCAGGUAAAUCCGGUUCACUUUAACACUGAGGCGUGACGACGAGGCACUACGGUGCUGAAGCAACAAAUGCCCUGCUUCCAGGAAAAGCCUCUAAGCAUCAGGUAACAUCAAAUCGUACCCCAAACCGACACAGGUGGUCAGGUAGAGAAUACCAAGGCGCUUGAGAGAACUCGGGUGAAGGAACUAGGCAAAAUGGUGCCGUAACUUCGGGAGAAGGCACGCUGACACGUAGGUGAAGUGAUUUACUCACGGAGCUGAAGUCAGUCGAAGAUACCAGCUGGCUGCAACUGUUUAUUAAAAACACAGCACUGUGCAAACACGAAAGUGGACGUAUACGGUGUGACGCCUGCCCGGUGCCGGAAGGUUAAUUGAUGGGGUCAGCGCAAGCGAAGCUCCUGAUCGAAGCCCCGGUAAACGGCGGCCGUAACUAUAACGGUCCUAAGGUAGCGAAAUUCCUUGUCGGGUAAGUUCCGACCUGCACGAAUGGCGUAAUGAUGGCCAGGCUGUCUCCACCCGAGACUCAGUGAAAUUGAACUCGCUGUGAAGAUGCAGUGUACCCGCGGCAAGACGGAAAGACCCCGUGAACCUUUACUAUAGCUUGACACUGAACAUUGAGCCUUGAUGUGUAGGAUAGGUGGGAGGCUUUGAAGCGUGGACGCCAGUCUGCGUGGAGCCGACCUUGAAAUACCACCCUUUAAUGUUUGAUGUUCUAACGUGGACCCGUUACCCGGGUUGCGGACAGUGUCUGGUGGGUAGUUUGACUGGGGCGGUCUCCUCCUAAAGAGUAACGGAGGAGCACGAAGGUUGGCUAAUCCUGGUCGGACAUCAGGAGGUUAGUGCAAUGGCAUAAGCCAGCUUGACUGCGAGCGUGACGGCGCGAGCAGGUGCGAAAGCAGGUCAUAGUGAUCCGGUGGUUCUGAAUGGAAGGGCCAUCGCUCAACGGAUAAAAGGUACUCCGGGGAUAACAGGCUGAUACCGCCCAAGAGUUCAUAUCGACGGCGGUGUUUGGCACCUCGAUGUCGGCUCAUCACAUCCUGGGGCUGAAGUAGGUCCCAAGGGUAUGGCUGUUCGCCAUUUAAAGUGGUACGCGAGCUGGGUUUAGAACGUCGUGAGACAGUUCGGUCCCUAUCUGCCGUGGGCGCUGGAGAACUGAGGGGGGCUGCUCCUAGUACGAGAGGACCGGAGUGGACGCAUCACUGGUGUUCGGGUUGUCAUGCCAAUGGCACUGCCCGGUAGCUAAAUGCGGAAGAGAUAAGUGCUGAAAGCAUCUAAGCACGAAACUUGCCCCGA